AUACAGAGUACAUUUCCUGUUUCCAGUGUUUUAUCCAGGCAUUUAUUUGUUUUGAAGUCACGUGAUCUUCUAUCAUCAAUGAGACGUAUGUCGCGUCAUGCGCCGAUAAAGCUUCGGAAGGGCGCACAAUCACAAGUAUCAUGGGGAAGCUGGUGACCCUUCCUUACCAUCCAAAGCAAGGACGACCAUAAGAGAGAGAAAAACCUUUCAAGGACCUUCUGAUAACUGAAGUUAUGAUUGAAGCUGCUACAAACCGGUGCUGGCCGAAGGCAGAAUUGAAGCAGGUCUAGUUGAAAGCGGCUUCGUGGCUUGCACAAGCCCAAUCCAAGUUGGACAAAAUGAAUCAGCCAUCAACACCAGCUACAAUAACAAUAAUCGACAUCGAUUGUGAAGAUGAACCUCUCGAAUAGAUAAUAAUAUAAUAGUAGUGACAGAAAAGAUCAUAAAACGUGUCUACAUGUUCAAUUUACUGAUAUCAUAAACAAUAAAUUAGUAAUUGAUUAUAA
This is a long non-coding RNA of Nilaparvata lugens (brown planthopper), 506 nucleotides long. RefSeq lists it as uncharacterized. The transcript has 4 exons. Lineage: Eukaryota; Metazoa; Arthropoda; Insecta; Hemiptera; Delphacidae. The record is from RefSeq and is a predicted model, not a curated record.